Asterophora parasitica is the source of this 91-nucleotide non-coding RNA. The record is from the annotation of a GenBank genome assembly. Lineage: Eukaryota; Fungi; Basidiomycota; Agaricomycetes; Agaricales; Lyophyllaceae.
GGCGCUGUAGUGUAGAGGUUAUCACUCGAGAUUCUGAUAAUCCGAACGUGUGAUUAUUCUCGAAACCCAGGUUCGAGUCCUGGCAGUGCCU